UGCCAGCAGCCGCGGUAAUACGGAGGAUCCAAGCGUUAUCCGGAAUUACUGGGCGUAAAGCGCGCGUAGGUGGUCUGUUAAGUCGGAUGUGAAAGCCCCGGGCUCAACCUGGGAACUGCAUUCGAUACUGGCAGACUAGAGUGCGGGAGAGGGAGGUAGAAUUCCAUGUGUAGCGGUGAAAUGCGUAGAUAUGUGGAGGAAUACCAGUGGCGAAGGCGGCCUCCUGGCUCGAUACUGACGCUGAGGUACGAAAGUGUGGGGAGCAAACAGGAUUAGAUA
RNAcentral lists this ribosomal RNA (279 nucleotides) under uncultured bacterium. RNAcentral's name for it is "partial 16S ribosomal RNA". It matches the Rfam family "Bacterial small subunit ribosomal RNA", at positions 506 to 784 of the family's 1533-position model. The record is from RNAcentral.